AAAUUAGUUUAUAAAUUUUUUUGGCAAUUUCAUCUUAGUAACCCGUUUUGUCCUAUUGCCAUUGUCCCAACCAUUGAAAAAGUUUACAAUAAUUUACAUAGAAAUAUUUUCAAAGUGCUUAAGAAUAGUGAUUGUUCUCUGGGAUAUUUACAGAUGGCCUAUACAAUGUAUGUACAGGUGGUAUACACUAUAGCACAAGUUUCACUGCUGGAAUAUGGCUUUCUAGGGAAAGUGCAUAUUUGGCCAGAGGUGGCAAUACUGUCUAGAAAUUCAAGGGUUACAGAUACUCGGUAACCACAUCCAAAGCUGAAGUAGAAUGUGGACAAGAAUAUUUACAAAAGUAAUAUAAAAACGGUCAAGUACACAAGCUUGAUCCACGCAAAGGUAUCUUGAUGUUCUUCCAGCCGAGAGGAAGAAAAAGAGACUUCAGCUGCUGGCUCGGUUACCAUUCCGACGGGGGUAUUAUUUGUUUAGACCUCAAAGGUCAACAUUUGUCACAGAAGUCAAGCUAGAUCAUCAUCUGUGCUUACAACUGAUAUCUGUGGAAAAGAAGAAGUAUAGAAUGAGCUUGGUGAUCACUCACUGAUGGCAACUCUAGUCUUUAAAAUGGACCUUGCUUUUGAGUUGGUCAUUCAAACACUCAGAGUGCUUAGAAGAAAAGUCAGUCAGAUACAAAAGAAUACUGAGUUGUAUCAUUCAUGCAUUUAACUUGAAUUCAACUAUACCUGCUUGGUAGUGAGAUAAGAUAGUGUGACUAAUUCUGUCUUUUCUACUUAAUGAUCAUAAGUCUUGGGGAAAAAUGUGAAAAGCCAUGUGUGUGUCAAGAAUUGACCACUGUUCCAUGUUUCACCGGAGUUUGAGAGGGGAGUGAUCAAUACUUGUUUUGUUCAGCCUGUUUCCUACGUGAAGGCCAAAUACUCCACUUGGGUUUCAUCUGAAGAACAAGUCUCCUUUCUGAAAAGUCUCACUUCAAGCCAUGGUGUAUAAAGACACAAAGCUGACUUACUGCUGGGUACGUGUGUCCAACAGAAGCACUGUGUCUACCAAUGUCUAUGGAGAGGUCCUCUUCAGUGGUUUUCAAGUACACAGGAUUGUCAAAG
RNAcentral lists this long non-coding RNA (1100 nucleotides) under Homo sapiens (human). RNAcentral's name for it is "novel transcript, antisense to VLDLR". Lineage: Eukaryota; Metazoa; Chordata; Mammalia; Primates; Hominidae. The record is from RNAcentral.